Momordica charantia (bitter melon) is the source of this 360-nucleotide long non-coding RNA. RefSeq lists it as uncharacterized. The record is from RefSeq and is a predicted model, not a curated record. NCBI's taxonomy places the organism in Eukaryota, Viridiplantae, Streptophyta, Magnoliopsida, Cucurbitales, Cucurbitaceae.
UGCUUCUCUUUUUCUCUACUGGAUUUGGAGUGGAAGUGACGGGAAAUCUGCAACAUCCACACUACAUGGCUCCAGUAGAAAAAAGUGUGGUGGGAAAAUCAAGGAAGAUGAUCGAAGUACUUUCAGAUGACUAUCAUGGCCCAGGACCUAAUCACCCUACGAUGUAUCUCCCUACAGAGAUUUUGUAUAGUCCUCCUCCUCCUGAAGUGUAGUUCGUCUCAUCCUUGUCUCUCUACCUCAAGGCCCAGCCAACACAGUAUAUUAAAUGUAACUUUAUUGUUAAGGGUAAUCCACAUGCAUGGAGUUGAGAACUGUAUCUCACUGUCUAAAAGUUCUAAAUGUAAUGCUCUUCUUCUCUCA